UCGCUCGCUCGCUCCUCGCGCCACUUUUUUUUCGCUGCCGUAAUACCUCGAGAGCCGACGUCCAUUUUGCUGGCCCGUUUUUGCGAGCGUCUUUGAUUUAUGAGUCGCAGCCGUACGCCAUAAGUAAUCGUAAGUAAAUUACACGUGACUUCGUAAAUCGUUUCCCGUGCGCGACUCCUUCGCUCGCGAAUAAUUGGACGUCGUCCCGGAAAGGUACGUACUCGCGGAGACGUUUUCUUUUUCGCACGACUACACGGGGUAGCGUCGGUGCCACGGCUUGCCGCUGUUUCUCUUGAAAACGCCGGGACCUGAAUAAAAGAAGGAGAGCGAGAGGAUCCACGCGCCUCGUGACUCGGUGCGUGGAGUGAGAGCAAGGAAGUUUGAAAAAUGGAUGGAGCACCAGGAGGAGGAAGUAGAGGCGGAUUUCGUGGUCGUGGAGGCCCUGGUGGAAUAAUGAGGGGACGCGGCGGUUUUGAUAGAGGAAGAGGUUUUUCAUACAGAGGUGGUCCGCCACGAGGCGGUAACAUGAUGCGUGGUGGACGAGGCAACGGACCUGGUGGUGGUAUGAGAGGAGGCCCACCUAUGAGAGGCGGCAGGGGAGGCCCUCCUGGUAGAGGUGGACGAGGUGGACAUUUUCCUCCAGGACCGCCAGAACCAGGAAUGUCUAGUGGACCUGGAGGUGGUCCUCCACCCUUAGGAAUGGGUGGUCCUCCACGAGGUGGCGGUGGAAGAGGUGGCGGAAGUAAUAGCUUCCGCAGUAGAGGUAGAGGCGAUUUCGGCAGAGGAGAUAGCCGCGGAGGUAGCAGCAAUUUCCGAGGUCGCGGUAUGGACAGAGGAAGAGGAGGAUCUAGAGGAUCGAGCAGAGGAGGACCAGGUGGUCGUGGAGGUAGCUUCUCUGAUCGUGGCCGAGGAGCUGGACGUGGUGGCCCGACGAAACGAGGUGUUCCACCUAGCUCAAGUGGACCGUCCAAGAGGCCGCGCUUUGAUCAGUCGUCUUCCCAAUCAGCCAAUGGAUAUGCCACUCAAGCACCUAACCAAGGAGGUUACGGAGGUUCAAAUAAUGCUUAUGGCGGUCAACAACAGCCGCAGCAACAACAGUCAGUAGGAUAUGGUGGCGGUGGUUAUGGUUCACAGCAAGGCUACACACAAUCUUAUCAGGGGUACGAAAGCUACCAACAGCCCCAGGACUAUGGGCAAACGGGUUAUCCAUCUGCAGCAGAUAACAGAUACGGCGGGGCAUCAUCAGUUUCGGCUGCAGGAGGAUUCGGUUCUAAUGAUCCCUACAGUUAUGGCAAAGCUCCGCCAUCAGGAGGCAGUGUCGAUUACUGGACUGGGGGACGGGGGCAAUUAUGCCUUUGCUAAUUUAUACGAUGACCAAUCUAAUGCCAACAUAAUCAACCGGGGUGGUUACUCGACGCAACCUUACGAUUAUCCGAGUCAGGACGGUGUUUAUGGAAAACAGGACUAUGGUAAGUACAACUCGCAGUACAAAAAAGUUCAUUGAUCAGAAGAGAAAGAUUUAGCUAAGCCGCUUGGAGAGAAAAAUGUGUUUGUGUAAAACUUAGACAGUGAAAUCUAUUAAAUAAGUAAUAUAACAUCCAAGAAAAGCAUAUUUGCACAUUUGAAGUUCUAAAGAAGAACGUUUACGUUAUUAUAAGAGCAUUUGCGAUAUACAAAAACGUAUAGUAACAAAAAGAUUCUUACGAGUCUGUCCGUACAGAUACCUAGAAAAUAUUUAUAUAAUUUUUACAGUAUUUGAGAGUGUUAGCAAGAUUAAAAGACUGUCCACAAAAAUAUUUGCAAAGCUAUAUCUACGAGAAAUUCAUUUUUUCUAAUAGUUAAGAACCAAAAGAAAAGCAAAGGCAAAUAAAGUUAUGGCGUCUCAUAGUAUACACAUAUAACAUACACAUAUAAAAACGUCAAGAAGUAACAGGCAGGAUUAAUAGCAAUAUCAUAGAAAGAUCUAUAUAAGUAGGCCGUUUGGUUUUGUGUAUAUGUAGAGAAGCAGGAUCAUUAAUUCUAUUUCUCGAGUAAAAUUGAACGGAGGAGCUAUGAUUGUUUGCAGGUGGCAGUGCUGGUUACCAAAACGCCCAGUCUCAACGACGUUAUUAAAGAUAUUCGUCACUUAAUAAUCAGUCCGCUCUUAUUAAUUUUGUAUUUAAGUAGAUAACAAUUCUCCCAAGCGAAACGUAGAACAAAUUGAAUCUGUCCCCCGUCACGCGAAAAGAGAUAAUACUUGUUCUCUUUUUGAAACUGCGAGAUACAAUUGUUAGUGAAAGAAUGAUAAUCGAGAAAUCUGGAAGCAAGGUGACUUUAAAAAAAAUGGACGAAGGUUCUCUGAACAAUAAUUGUACGCAAUUUUAUCACUUUUGUGAAGAUUCAUACAUCAUACGUAUAUCGAAAAAGGUUGAGAAUUUAUAUUGUUAGACACGUAUCAUAAUUAUUUUAAAUAAUUUUAAAGAAUGGACAGUGAAGUCACGCGAUUUUUGAUAAAAACAAAAAAUUUAAUUUAUUCAAUAUUCAACAUUCACGACGCGCAAAUGUUUUGACUCAUUUUCGAGCUAUCCUUAGUGGGAAUACAAUAUUCACAAAAUUUCACGAAUAUACCUUUUUCCUUUGCAGAGAAUGAAACUUUUUAAUCAUUAUUCGAAAAAUUGUUUUUGAUUCCCGGGUUUUCUAGAGUACUUUUUUGUGUCACUUUGUUUCCAAGAUUUUUUUCACUUUCCUUUGCUUGUCUUCGUCACAUAUACACGUUGAAUUUGAUCAAUAUGUCGCUUGAUGAUAUAGGGAAUGCAUAUUUUAUACUUGAUGAUUAGCAUAGUGCACAAUAACAUUAUUUGACGUUAUUUGAUGUCGCUUAUACGACAAUCUAGGAUUAAGAUCCAAGUAUAAUUAUCCCGUAAGUCGAGCGGUGAACUAUCUUCCGUUCUCUUCACGAUUUGCGUAGCAUAAUUUAACAUAAUUUAACAUAACAGUAAUAAUUAAUGAGAAACAGUAAUGAAAGCGACAACACUGUAAAGUCAAUGUCCUGUUUUGUAAAUAGAAAAUCGCAAAUAAAUCCUUUUUUGUGGAAAGGAAGAGUCAUUGAGAAUAACGUUAAACACAAUCACUUACUGUAUUUCGAUAAUUACUCGUUUUUGAUUACCUAAUAUUUGAGUUUUAUGUCUAUUUAAGAAUUAAAGUAGAAAACGCGAUUCUUUUUGGGGAUAUUGAAAAUAUCAAUUUUAUUGUAAUAUUGUAAUAUAAUUAUUUUAUUUGUCAAAAUUAAUCAUUUAUUUUAUCAUUUAUUGUAAAUUUUUUGAUAAUAUUAGAUUUUCCAUCAGUUUUAUAAUUUAUAAUUAUAUAUUAAUAAUAACUUUGCAGUUUAACUUGGUCGAGGUAAAUCAUCGCAAUCACCAUCGAUAAUCAGUCAUUGGCAAUUGUCAAUGUCAUAUAUUGGACAAUCGUUAAUUAAUAAUUAAAUUAAUUAAACGAUUUUUUAUAAAGUUAAAUGAAAAUAACUUUAUUUCUUUUCUUGACAAUUUAGCUAAGAUUGCAGAAAGAAAAAAAAAGAAUAAAUUUUGAAGUUUUUUUCCUUAAUAGAAAAUUGUUCAACCAACCGAAAGAAAACCGAAUAGAAUAGUGAAUUUAAACAAUUCAGUUAUACACAAUAUCUGAUUCUUUGUCAUGCAUUAUUUUAUGUUAAUUAACGAAACUCGCUUGAAUUAUUUGUACUGUGUUUAUUGUAUACGAUACGUAUUUUACAAAUAAUUAUUUAGCGCAUCAUGUUGUUAUGUCUCGAUCUAUUGUAAAUGAUCGCUCGAUAAAAAUGAAAGAUACAUUGAAAAAAAACGAAGCUCAAGAAUA
This 3846-nucleotide unclassified non-coding RNA is filed under the name Monomorium pharaonis (pharaoh ant). RNAcentral's name for it is "rNA-binding protein FUS, transcript variant X6". The record is from RNAcentral. Lineage: Eukaryota; Metazoa; Arthropoda; Insecta; Hymenoptera; Formicidae.